Molecule: long non-coding RNA, 1322 nt
Filed under: Pogona vitticeps (central bearded dragon)
Lineage: Eukaryota; Metazoa; Chordata; Lepidosauria; Squamata; Agamidae
Description: lncRNA (ENSPVIG00000017508.1)
Source: RNAcentral
AGGAGGCUAAAAAGAGGCAAGUGAAAGGCAUGGAGGCAGCUCAGCACCCCUCUCCUGCACAUUCCUUUUGCUCAAAGAAUCACGUUAUCCCAACCAAACCUUUGGAAAAGUUACUCCCAGAAUCCUCCCCAGCCAGCACAGGAGGGGUCUAGUCCAAAACAGUAACUUUCUCAAGCUCUCCCCAGUUUGAUUUACCAUCAAGGCUAACCAGGAUUUAAGCAAACAGGUUUUUUUCCUCCCCACUAUUACUACUCUAUGCUAGAGAAACUAGGGGGUGACGCAUACAAAGCAAGGAUUAACAAGGCACCUCUUGCCUCUCUGCUUGUCACUACUCAGGGACAAAGUGGUGGGGGCUGAGGUGAAGAGAAGGAAUGUCAGCCAGGUCUAUCAACCAAAAGCACUUUUAAGGCUUUGACUUUGAAAAGUUUCACAAUCACCUGUUUUAUCUUGUGAGGCUAGGCCAGGAAGCUCUUGCAGACAUCCAAAUCGCCAACAGGAAGGGCCGUCUGGGUCUGUGUAAGCCAUGGAUGCCCCCUGUGAGGUGGUGUGUAGGGAUGGCUUACUUGAUGGGCCUGGUGGCCCUCCUUGCUACCGCUACCACCCGCUGCCCCGAGGGAUUGUGUAUUGUGCCAUCAGACAGUGUUAAGCAGCCAGUCUGAGACCAUUCACAACCUAGAUUGUUUGGAGGCCUAUCUUUCUCUUUUUUCCCCUCAGGCCUUGUUACUUCCUAUUGGACAGUGACUGCUGUGACAUCCCAAAGGAUCCUGACAGUGCCCAUAGCCAGCCCCUUCUGCAAGAAGAGUACAAAAUAUGGCUUGCAAGAACACACUGUUCCAAAUCCGGCCUUCAGUCAGCUAAUACAGCAAUUACAGCUAAGCUCAGUGGAGAACCUGAAGAAGGCUGUGGACACAGGCCCUGCUACUCAGAAAAUCCCAGGCCUUUGACCCUGCCAGUCCCAGCUCCACUACACCACUGGUUAUCGUCCAAGCUUUGCUGCUCCCUUGACAACCUGCUUCAACAAUUAAGGAACUGUUUAUAGAGACUUUUUCUCCUUACAAAGCUUCCUAGAUUGCUGUGCAGAUGUGUAGAAAAAAAAAUCUUUUAAAACUUAAAACAUACUGGGAGGGGAGGUGUAAGUUACAUCUCCAGUUUUAUUCCUAAAACAGGCAGGUACCGUUCCAUCUAAAAGGAAACUGCAUUGUCUUCCCCUCUAACAAGAGCCACUGCAACUGAAGGUGACAGUGCUCACUUGAAAUCAAUGUCAAUGUGCAUUUUCCCCUCCAAAGAAUAAAAAUGGAUCUUCUGCAAGAUGGAUGUGCCUG